This 253-nucleotide ribosomal RNA is filed under the name uncultured bacterium. Its description in RNAcentral is "partial 16S ribosomal RNA". It matches the Rfam family "Bacterial small subunit ribosomal RNA", at positions 524 to 776 of the family's 1533-position model. The record is from RNAcentral.
UACGGAGGGUGCAAGCGUUAUCCGGAUUCACUGGGUUUAAAGGGUGCGUAGGUGGGCAAGUAAGUCAGUGGUGAAAUCUCCGGGCUUAACCCGGAAACUGCCAUUGAUACUAUUUGUCUUGAAUACUGUGGAGGUCAGCGGAAUAUGUCAUGUAGCGGUGAAAUGCUUAGAUAUGACAUAGAACACCAAUUGCGAAGGCAGCUGGCUACACAAAUAUUGACACUGAGGCCCGAAAGCGUGGGGAUCAAACAGG